RNAcentral lists this ribosomal RNA (466 nucleotides) under uncultured bacterium. Its description in RNAcentral is "partial 16S ribosomal RNA". It matches the Rfam family "Bacterial small subunit ribosomal RNA", at positions 28 to 507 of the family's 1533-position model. The record is from RNAcentral.
GACGAACGCUGGCGGCGUGCUUAACACAUGCAAGUCGAACGGAAAGGCCCUGCUUGCAGGGUACUCGAGUGGCGAACGGGUGAGUAACACGUGGGUGAUCUGCCCUGCACUUCGGGAUAAGCUUGGGAAACUGGGUCUAAUACCGGAUAGGAACCAUCUUUAGUGUGGUGGUUGGAAAGUUUUUUCGGUGUAGGAUGAGCUCGCGGCCUAUCAGCUUGUUGGUGGGGUAAUGGCCUACCAAGGCGGCGACGGGUAGCCGGCCUGAGAGGGUGUACGGCCACAUUGGGACGGAGAUACGGCCCAGACUCCGACGGGAGGCAGCAGUGGGGAAUAUUGCACAAUGGGCGCAAGCCUGAGGCAGCGACGCCGCGUGGGGGAUGAAGGCCUUCGGGUUGUAAACUCCUUUCGCUAGGGACGAAGCUUUGUUGUGACGGUACCUAGAUAAGAAGCACCGGCUAACUACGUG